AAGGAUGAGAGAUGAGAAAGGAUUAAAG
Molecule: non-coding RNA, 28 nt
Filed under: Cricetulus griseus (Chinese hamster)
Lineage: Eukaryota; Metazoa; Chordata; Mammalia; Rodentia; Cricetidae
Source: RNAcentral